RNAcentral lists this ribosomal RNA (557 nucleotides) under uncultured bacterium. Its description in RNAcentral is "partial 16S ribosomal RNA". It matches the Rfam family "Bacterial small subunit ribosomal RNA", at positions 355 to 902 of the family's 1533-position model. The record is from RNAcentral.
UGGGGAAUAUUGCACAAUGGGCGCAAGCCUGAUGCAGCCAUGCCGCGUGUGUGAAGAAGGCCUUCGGGUUGUAAAGCACUUUCAGCGAGGAGGAAGGUGGUGAACUUAAUACGUUCAUCAAUUGACGUUACUCGCAGAAGAAGCACCGGCUAACUCCGUGCCAGCAGCCGCGGUAAUACGGAGGGUGCAAGCGUUAAUCGGAAUUACUGGGCGUAAAGCGCACGCAGGCGGUUUGUUAAGUCAGAUGUGAAAUCCCCGGGCUCAACCUGGGAACUGCAUUUGAAACUGGCAAGCUAGAGUCUCGUAGAGGGGGGUAGAAUUCCAGGUGUAGCGGUGAAAUGCGUAGAGAUCUGGAGGAAUACCGGUGGCGAAGGCGGCCCCCUGGACGAAGACUGACGCUCAGGUGCGAAAGCGUGGGGAGCAAACAGGAUUAGAUACCCCUGGUAGUCCACGCUGUAAACGAUGUCGAUUUUGGAGGUUGUGCCCUUGAGGCGUGGCUUCCGGAGCUAACGCGUUAAAUCGACCGCCUGGGGAGUACGGCCGCAAGGUUAAAACUC